AUGGCAUACCAUGUUGAAAGGACCUGCAGCUCCCCUGUCACUGGCCAAUGCCCGGGCAAGUUGAUCUGGCCAGAGUUGUUGGGCAGGAAGGGCAAGGAGGCAAAAGAUGUGAUUGAGAAAGAGAGACCUUCCACCGAUGCGAUUUACGUUCCCCAAGAUGCCGUUGUUACCGGUGACUACUGUUGCAAUCGCGUUAGGAUCUUCGUGGCUGCCACGCCCAAUGGUGACUAUGCAAACGCCAAGGUGAUUGCGGUUCCAAGAGUUGGGUGA
Molecule: ribosomal RNA, 270 nt
Filed under: Triticum aestivum (bread wheat)
Lineage: Eukaryota; Viridiplantae; Streptophyta; Magnoliopsida; Poales; Poaceae
Description: partial small subunit ribosomal RNA
Source: RNAcentral